Molecule: long non-coding RNA, 789 nt
Organism: Lotus japonicus
Lineage: Eukaryota; Viridiplantae; Streptophyta; Magnoliopsida; Fabales; Fabaceae
Exons: 3
Source: RefSeq, a predicted model, not a curated record
UUCCUUCUGUUAUAAUUUGAAUUAAGUUGUUAUUCGAGAAGUUGUUUCUGUUUUAAGUUGUGGGCAAGAUACUAUGUUUUCUUUAAGUUUUAAAGACAUUGGAUUCGCUGCAUAACUAUUUGUCAAAGUGAACUAGUUCAAAGACUAAUUAACUAUCACAAGAGCAUCUAUUUAUAAUAUAGUAACUAUGAAGCGCGCAAUGUAGCGCUGCCAAAUCAUCUAUCUUAUACUCACAUAAGUUUGCCACAUCAGAAUUUUUAAUUACAUGUCAUUGCAUCUCCUACAUUUUACACAACAUACUAUCAAUUGAACCCUUGCCAUUUCUAUGCGCCGUUUUUUGCGUUCUUCUCUUUUCCCCUCUCCAGCAUAUCGAGCAUUGAUUCAAGACUAUUUCUUUAGGGGACGCGCCGAUCUAGAAUGCCACCUCCUCUUAGCUUGCGGCCGCCACUUCCAUUCUCUCACAAACUGAGCUACAACCACCAAAUCGCUUGCACAAUCGCACUACUCUCGCCGGGACAAACACCACCGUCGUUCACGCAUCUGCCUCUUUUACUUGAUGCACGCUACAUGUUGCUAAUUUGCUAUGCGAUUGGCAAAUCUUAAAACCCGACCAAUCCACAUCGAGCUCAAGGUCUUAAUGAAGUUUAAGGAUCUCAGGCUAGAACCCACUCAGGCCUUCACGAAUCACGAUGAUGAUCAGACUAAGGAGCCCAAGAUGUUGUUUGCUCUGAUCCACUUCAGAAGAUGCCUACUAAGAUCCGACGCUUCUUUUGAGACUCCCUUCUAAGG